This 393-nucleotide ribosomal RNA is filed under the name uncultured bacterium. RNAcentral's name for it is "partial 16S ribosomal RNA". It matches the Rfam family "Bacterial small subunit ribosomal RNA", at positions 523 to 918 of the family's 1533-position model. The record is from RNAcentral.
AUACGGAGGAUCCGAGCGUUAUCCGGAUUUAUUGGGUUUAAAGGGAGCGUAGGUGGACAGUUAAGUCAGUUGUGAAAGUUUGCGGCUCAACCGUAAAAUUGCAGUUGAUACUGGCUGUCUUGAGUACAGUAGAGGUGGGCGGUAUUCGUGGUGUAGCGGUGAAAUGCUUAGAUAUCACGAAGAACUCCGAUUGCGAAGGCAGCUCACUGGACUGCAACUGACACUGAUGCUCGAAAGUGUGGGUAUCAAACAGGAUUAGAUACCCUGGUAGUCCACCCAGUAAACGAUGAAUACUCGCUGUUUGCGGUAUACAGUAAGCGGCCAAGCGAAAGCAUUAAGUAUUCCACCUGGGGAGUACGCCGGCAACGGUGAAACUCAAAUGAAUUGACGGGG